CCCUCUGCGUUGACUUCCGCCUAAUCGUAGAAGAAGAGGAAACAAAAACCAGAAACAGGUAAAACUAAUGAAACGAAUCUACUCUUGAGUGUUCCACAAGUAUCCAAAUAUAUUAAAGGUCUGUUUUUUUUUAACCUAAUGUUACACAUUGCUAGAUCUUCGAGUAUCGGCGCCGGAAUCAGCUCGCCGGGAAAUGGGGAAAGCUAGAGGAGUUAACAGCGGCGCCGGAGAGAGCUCUCUCGGUUACCUUUUUGGAUCCGGUGAGUCUGUUUCCAAACCGAACAUGCCCACCACCGCCACCACGACAACACCAACGACUACCACCGGAGAUAAAGCCAAGACGGAGGAGGAGAAGAAGAAACAGAUGUCGGCUGGUGUGAGAGGAAGCCCUAAUAAUUACAUCAGAACAGAGGGACAAAACUGUGGCAACUUCCUCACGGUAAUAAUAAUAAUAAUAGAAAAGAUCUUUGUGUUUUGUAAGAAUUAGAAUUCGAAAACUUAAUUAAACAAGAAAAUGUGUUUUUUUUUUUGUUUUUGGUUGAUUUUGAGAAACAGGAACGACCAUCGACGAAGGUUCAUGCAGCACCAGGUGGAGGAUCUUCUCUGGGUUACUUGUUUGGAUCUGGAUCUGGCAAAUGAUUUGUUUCUGCAGCAUUUUGAACCGUUUGAAGAAAGUGUAAAAAUAAAUUGUAACUUUAUUUCUUAUUCGUGGUGAUCAAUGUUAUGUUCAUGAGGAUUGUUUUGGAUUUGACCAUUUUCUUAUGUUCUUGCAAAAGGAUUUGUCUAUCAAUGGUUCAAAGCUAGAAACUUUCUUAAUUUAGACAUCUGGAUCUUGCUGCUGGAUCUGAAUCUUUUUUUAUCCAAUCUAUUGUGUAUGAUGAGUAAAGCUUAGAAUUAACUUACUUAACAGCUUUAUGAAUCUCCACCAUUUUGGGGUAAUGUCUCGGACCACUUCAACACUUGUCUUGUCUGAACAUGAUUGUUCCAAGUCAAAACGAUUUGGUUGUUGUAUUCCCCAUGGAUUCAUUGAAUUGACGAAAAGGUUGCAGCUUUCAUGAAACUUACUGUAGAUUAUUCAUCAUAACAGCUUCUUGAAAAGUUUCUGCUCAUUACAGUACAUAUAGCCCAUUGAUCAAAGAACCUUUGCAACUGGAGAGCUAUAGAUCUUCAUUUAUGAGACAAUUUAUCAGUCUUCACUCUUGUGCAGAGGUUAAAGGACGUGGAAAGCAAUUAACACUUGGACAAAUGAAAUAAUUGCUUAGGAAGAUAGUUAUGGUAAAAGUUGGGAGAUAUGUUUAUCUCAGAAGAUGACUCAUUACCACUUUCUUUUUGUCUUCAACCCCAAGUUACCUUCUCACUUCUCAUCUCUGAAUCAUUAGAGUUCAGUAUCUUAAGACUGUAAAGGCAGCUGAGAUGUUGUGUUCGGACAAGAACACGUCACUUUCUGUUGCUGUUAUACUAUCAUUCACCAUAAAACAUUGCUUAAAGUUAUGGGAAAACAAGAAAGUAUAAAUUUAGAGAAUUGCAACAACAAGUUGGUAAACAAGCCAAUCUUCAGACCCAAAAGACUAAUUUACAGAAGAUGAGGCUCUUCUUCUGCUUCUGCUUCUUCUUCAUGAUCAUCUUUAGCACAUCAUGUGAGUUCUGGAUAUUUAUUUUUAUCCACAUCAACUUAUAUCUCUGAUCCUCUGAUCUUUUUUUCUUUCUACCAGCUGCUUAUGAUCCAUUGGAUCCUAAUGGGAACAUUACAUUAAAAUGGGACAUCAUGUCCUGGACAGCAGAUGGUUAUGUGGUAAGAACCCUCUCCGCGCUUGUGCACACAGUGUUUGAAACUUCACACAAUCUCUCACCAUCUCUAUACAUGCAUUUGCAGGCAACUGUAACCAUGAACAACUUCCAAAUCUACCGGCACAUACAAAACCCUGGCUGGACACUAGGCUGGGCAUGGGCCAAGAAAGAAGUGAUUUGGUCAAUGGUUGGUGCACAGACAACAGAACAAGGAGACUGUUCCAAGUUCAAAGGAAAUGUACCUCACUGCUGUAAGAAAAUCCCUACAGUCGUUGACCUCUUGCCGGGUGUUCCUUACAACCAACAGUUCUCAAACUGUUGCAAAGGCGGUGUGGUUGGAGCUUGGGGUCAAGAUCCAUCAUCUGCUGUAUCGCAGUUUCAAGUUAGUGUUGGUUUGGCUGGAACUACGAACAAGACUGUUAAGCUUCCUAAGAACUUCACGUUGCUUGGUCCUGGGCCUGGUUACUCUUGUGGUCCUGCCAAAAUAGUGCCGUCUACCGUUUUUUUCACUACUGACAAAAGGAGGAAGACGCAAGCUUUGAGUAAGUACACUAUAUAUCAUUCAUCUAUAAUGACCAAUGUUCUAAAAAUUGGUCGAGGCUACAAAUCUCAUGAACAAACGAUUUUCUUAAAAUCCGAUUUGUGCAUCUUGAAUUGGUUUAAGCUGUUCCAAACCAGUUAAAAUCGAUCUAAAUUAAUCUAAUUCAAUCUAAAUAGGUGUAAAUAGGUUGAAUCAAUUAACAAUGUUAGUUAAAUACACAAGUUUGUCUAGUUUCCUUUUUUUGUAUAUCUAAUUUUUAUAAUUCAUCACACUAAUUUUAUAAUUAAAUUUUAAAAUUAAAACAUAUAAUAAAUAAUAAUUUGUUAUCCCCUAGCCGCUAGGUCUAUAUAAACCGCUUAGUUACCGCUUAUUGCACCAUUGAUCUCUAAACAUCAUCUCAACCUUAUUGCCUAUGCAGUGACAUGGAAUGUAACGUGCACAUACUCACAGUUUCUAGCGAGAAAGCAUCCAAGUUGCUGCGUCUCCUUCUCUUCUUUCUACAACGACACCAUAACUCCUUGUCCGUCUUGUGCAUGUGGUUGCGAGAACAAAAAGAGCUGCGUCAAGUGAGCAGAAAGAUAACACAAAUCACUUAAAAUACAUACUCCUUUUCUAAACAUUCUCAAAUAAUAUUCUUGCAGGGCUGAUUCCAAGAUUCUAACCAAGAAAGGUCUAAACACACCGAGAAAAGACAACGCCCCGUUGCUACAAUGCACACACCACAUGUGCCCCGUUAGAGUCCACUGGCACGUUAAAACUAACUACAAAGAGUACUGGCGUGUGAAGAUAGCCAUCACAAACUUCAAUUACCGGAUGAACCAUACGCUAUGGACUUUAGCAGUUCAGCAUCCAAAUCUCAACAAUGUGACUCAAGUUUUCAGCUUCGAUUACAAAUCAGUUGCUCCUUAUGGAUCCAUAAGUAAGUCUAUCCCUCUCUCUCUCUCUCGAACACUACAACUAUUCAGCCAAACAUCGAAAGACUGACACUAUAUGAUAUCUGUUUGUGCAGAUGAUACAGGAAUGUUCUUUGGAACGAAGUUUUACAAUGAUCUUUUGAUGGAAGCGGGGCCUUCAGGGAAUGUUCAGUCAGAGGUGUUGCUGCAGAAAGAUGAAAAGACUUUUACGUUCAAGCAAGGAUGGGCUUUUCCGAGGAAAGUUUACUUUAAUGGCGAUGAGUGUAUGUUGCCUCCACCAGAUGCGUACCCUUUUCUUCCAAACUCUGCACGAGCGAACUUGGCUUCUCUCUCGACACUGUCACUCACGGUUCUUCUUCUUGUUGUGUUCAUCUCAAGCUUGUGAUUUGAUCUGAUCGUUCUCAAAGACUGUAUUUUUUUGUUGGUAUUUUGAGUGUUGAGAUAAAUGUCGAAAACAGAGUUUUGUAAGAUAAAGAUGAUCGGAGAUGUUGGUCUCGUCUCGUCUAUGGUUCUGUAAGAAACAUGCUCUUAGAAAGAGUGAGAGGUUUAUAAUAGUAAAAUCCAAAGAACGUUUUCAAUGGGCCAAGAUAAGCGCAUUAUACUAUAGGCCCAAUUGAGGUCCGGCUUAGUUAAUGUUCACGUGUAUAAUUUUCGUUGGUUCGUAGAGGCGAAAGGUCAAGAACGGCGUUUUGUUCGGGGGAGACACUUUUUGUUGGUAGAUUUUUUCUCGAGAUUAGCUCUAUAAAAAGUCGUACUCUAUUUUUUUUUUUUUUGUUUUAAUUUGGUAUAGCAUUUGUUUAUUAUUUUAAACAUUUUCAAUUCAAUUUUGAGAUAUGAUCACAUAAUGUUUACCUAUACUAGAUUAUUUACCGCGCUACGCGCGGUUUGUCUUAUAUACAUCUAAUUUGCAUUUAUCUCUUGUAUUUUUUAUUUUAUUAUUGUUAAUGAUGAGAUAUGAAAAGAUUUUUGUCUCAAAAUUAUUUUUUGAUAGAAUAAAAUUUUAAAAAGUUAAUAUUCUACAUAUUUUUCUAUUUUUACAUAGAGUUUUUAAUUUAUAUGUGCAUAUUAUGUAUUAUAGUAUUUAAGUUUGUUUUUCACUUGAAAAUUAUUUUUUUUAAUACUAAACAGACUAAAACAAUAAUGGAGAAAAACAGUUUUGAUUUUUUUGGUGUUGUUCUCUUUCUUGGGGAACUCUACAUAAAUCUAUAUUUUAAUAUUUUGAUAUUUCAUUAGUGUUGUUGUGUAGAAUUUUUUUCUUGACUCUUAUAUAUCUCAUCUUUUAGACAUAGUUUUAAAAUAUUUUGUUAGAAAUGAAUAUUCAUUUCUCUUUCAAAUAUAAAAUAAAAAUAUUCUAAUUAAAAUGUGUACAAUAAUAAAUAACAACCAUAAAUUUUAUCAAAAGACAAAUGAGCUAUGUUAAAAUAAAAUUUUGCUUAAAAAUUGACAGUGGUAUGAGCAAAUAAUAUCAUAUAAAAGUAAAAGCAUAGUUAUUCUUAAAUUAAGUUCAUUGGAAAAUAAAAACAUCUGCAUGAAUGUGAUUAAUUUUUGAUUAGUUUUUUGUUUAACAUUUCUUUUAUUUUAAACUGAAUAAACGAAAAACCUUUGAGACUUCACAAAUUUCAUCCUCCAAUUUUUACGUGUGGUCUAUGAUAAAAUUAUCAAUUUGCUUUUCGUCAAUUUUUUCUGGUUAUUUUGCUAUUAAUUUAUAUGCAAAUUGUAAUUAUUUUGAAUACAUGUAAUACCUUUUUUGUCGAUAAACUGAGACCAGUCCCAGUUCUUAUUUAUAAAUAGUUUUAGUGGAAUCAUUUUGAGCCCAUGGAAACCAAUAAAGACCAGAUAGAUAGCUUAAGAUCCACGUAACCGCUCAAUACACAUUCUUGUUUUCUUGUAUUGGUUUGUUUAGUUGUAUACACGUACUACACUUUCAUGUAAAAUACUUAAAACCAAUCAUUUUCUUACGUACUAUAAAUAAUCAGGUAGACAGCAAUAGAAAGUGAAAUAAAUCGAUCGGAAUGUAUCAUGUACUAUAUUUAUGUCUAUGAAAAUGAACCACAAAAAGAACUAAUUAACGUCGAUUCAUGUGCAUCUUCUGCAUUGCAUUAAAAUCCCAAUUUGCUUUACUGCAUCACCUGAGCCGUCCUAUGAAGAUCACGCAUGACCGAGUUUACUUGCACUAUGUUGAAGAUUCUUUGUAAGCCUUUCCUCCGUAGCCUGAAUAAUUGUUUAAUAAAUCGUUUUUCGGAUUUCUCCGGAAAUUGAAAUCUGGACCUGCCGGUGUAUAAGCAUCAAGCAUCAAGCAUCAGUGAACUCUUAGGCAAACUAUUGGACCGAAGUGCUUCCACUAAUAAUAAACGGCUUUACGUGAUGCACCAACGACUUAAUAACCCCCACACGUGCCUACCAUAAGUUCAUGUCUUUCUCACCACCACACAAUGUCUUACACGUGUGUAUAAAUUCAUAUGUACAUGUAUGUAUCUGUACCUCCUUGUUCCUCUGUUUCUCCCUCUGCGUUGACUUCCGCCUAAUCGUAGAAGAAGAGGAAACAAAAACCAGAAACAGGUAAAACUAAUGAAACGAAUCUACUCUUGAGUGUUCCACAAGUAUCCAAAUAUAUUAAAGGUCUGUUUUUUUUUAACCUAAUGUUACACAUUGCUAGAUCUUCGAGUAUCGGCGCCGGAAUCAGCUCGCCGGGAAAUGGGGAAAGCUAGAGGAGUUAACAGCGGCGCCGGAGAGAGCUCUCUCGGUUACCUUUUUGGAUCCGGUGAGUCUGUUUCCAAACCGAACAUGCCCACCACCGCCACCACGACAACACCAACGACUACCACCGGAGAUAAAGCCAAGACGGAGGAGGAGAAGAAGAAACAGAUGUCGGCUGGUGUGAGAGGAAGCCCU
This 6135-nucleotide long non-coding RNA is filed under the name Brassica napus (rape). Its description in RNAcentral is "long non-coding RNA (BNAP_LNC010591)". The record is from RNAcentral. Lineage: Eukaryota; Viridiplantae; Streptophyta; Magnoliopsida; Brassicales; Brassicaceae.